Sclerotinia borealis F-4128 is the source of this 74-nucleotide non-coding RNA. The record is from the annotation of a GenBank genome assembly. Lineage: Eukaryota; Fungi; Ascomycota; Leotiomycetes; Helotiales; Sclerotiniaceae.
GGUGGUGUAGUGUAAUGGUAUCACGUGGUGUUGUGGUCCCCGCUUCAAUCUGGGUUCGAUUCCCAGCACCGCCA